CCUACGGGAGGCAGCAGUGAGGAAUAUUGGUCAAUGGACGAGAGUCUGAACCAGCCAAGUAGCGUGAAGGAUGACUGCCCUAUGGGUUGUAAACUUCUUUUAUAAAGGAAUAAAACGAGGCACGUGUGCCUUUUUGCAUGUACUUUAUGAAUAAGGAUCGGCUAACUCCGUGCCAGCAGCCGCGGUAAUACGGAGGAUCCGAGCGUUAUCCGGAUUUAUUGGGUUUAAAGGGAGCGUAGAUGGGUUGUUAAGUCAGUUGUGAAAGUUUGCGGCUCAACCGUAAAAUUGCAAUUUAUACUGGCAGUCGUGAGUACAGUUGAGGUAGGCGGAAUUCGUGGUGUAGCGGUGAAAUGCUUAGAUAUCACGAAGAACCCCGAUUGCGAAGGCAGCUUACUAAACUGUGACUGACAUUGAUGCUCGAAAGUGUGGGUAUCAAACAGGAUUAGAUACCCUGGUAGUC
Molecule: ribosomal RNA, 460 nt
Filed under: uncultured bacterium
Lineage: Bacteria
Description: partial 16S ribosomal RNA
Rfam family: Bacterial small subunit ribosomal RNA
Source: RNAcentral